CAGAUUGGGAAACUCAUCAAAUAAUAUGAAAUACCGAGUCCGAUUCUGUCUUUAAUGGCGGGCCUCGUCCGAAAGGAAGUCGAAAGACCGGAGGAUUACAGAGAAGAUGGAAAACUCAAAUCCUGACUAUCGGAGUUUCAUCGCACUCUUUGAUG
This 155-nucleotide small RNA is filed under the name pig gut metagenome. RNAcentral's name for it is "Bacteroidales-1 6S-Bacteroidales RNA suggested". It matches the Rfam family "Bacteroidales-1 6S-Bacteroidales RNA suggested", at positions 15 to 168 of the family's 179-position model. The record is from RNAcentral.